Molecule: unclassified non-coding RNA, 255 nt
Filed under: rhizosphere metagenome
Description: partial ribosomal RNA internal transcribed spacer region
Source: RNAcentral
GUAGGUGAACCUGCGGAAGGAUCAUUAUCGAGUUUUGAACGGGUUGUAGCUGGCCUUUCACGAGGCAUGUGCACGCCUGGCUCAUCCACUCUCUUACCUCUGUGCACCCUUUGUAGGAAAGAAAAGGUUACAGACCGCUAGCCGGUUGAAGGCCUCCCUCUCUCCUAUGUUUUAUCACAAACGCUUCAGUAUCAGAAUGUUUAUCUUGCGUAACGCAUUAUAAUACAACUUUCAGCAACGGAUCUCUUGGCUCUC